UUUAGCUCUAUAUUGUUCGUAUCGUCAUCCAGCCACAUCUCGGUGAAACAUAAGAUAUUACAGUAUCUAAUGUCCCGUUGGUAGGAUAAUCUUAAUAGUAGGUUAUCAAUUUUCCUUUCCAAUGAUUGCACGUUAGCAAGAAGAAUGGAAGGCAUUGGGAGUUUACUCGCUCGCCUCCGGAUUCUCAGAAGGUACCCCGAUCUGCGUCCCCUUUUCCGAUGUCUUUUCUUCACGCAAAAGGCGUGGAUCUGGGACUGUUCCGGUGAAAGCAGGAUAUCAUUCUCAUCAGAGAAAACCAUUACAGAAUCACCCACCACAACAGGACUAAGCGCCGUGGUGACAGGCAGCGACAGCAGGAGCAGCGAAAUAAAGACUUCUGGACUUGGGAAGAAAUCCUCGAUGGGAGAGGACCCUGGGCAAAGCCAGGGGAGUGUCACUGCCCCAAGGUGCAGCAGGAGAAGCGGCAGCAGGAGCAGCGCGAGGAGGAAUGGACAUGGGAGGACGAAUUGGAUGGAAAAGGACCCUGGGCACAGCCAGGAGAAUAUCGUGGCCCCAAAGAAGAGCUGGAGGCGGCAAAGGUGGAGAGGUGCUGGUAUGAGGAAGCAGCACGGCGGCGUGGAUGGAAGCCCGAGAGUCAGCCCCAAAAAUGUAUUGGGGGGGCACACAGGAAGUGUGGCGAAGCCAGGUAGGAGACCUGCGCCAACUUCCUGUGCUUACCGGGGGGCGAGAGAGACCGGGCAGGCACCGUGUUAUGCAUAGCCCGGUGCGGGUACAUACCAGCUCCGCGUAUCGGCCGGGCUAGAGUGAGCAUCGAGCCAAGUGCCAUGAAGCCGGCUCUACGCAUCUGGUCCCCACUGCGUCUCCUUGGGCCGGCUUACAUGGCACCAGCCUUGCGCACGGGGUCCCCGGUUCGCCUGCAUAGCCCAGUGUGGGCUAUUCCACCUCGCCGCACUGGCAGGGCGACCGGGAGCAUUCAACCGGAAAUUGAUAAUAAGAAGAUUGUGGGAGUUGUACUGUUAGAUUUCAGUGCAGCCUUUGAUAUUAUUGAACAUAAUCUGUUGUUGAAAAAACUUAAGUGCUAUGGCUUUUCAACCUCUGCCAUAUCGUGGAUUCAGAGCUAUCUAUCUAAUAGAACUCAAAGGGUUUUCUUUAAUGGAAGCAUCUUGUCAAACAUGUAAAGUGUGGUGUACCGCAGGGCAGCUCUCUAAGCCCUCUAUUCUUUUCUAUUUUGACCAAUGACCUGUCACUGGCAUUAAACAAAGUAUGUGUGUCCAUGUAUGCUGAUGAUUCAACCAUAUACGCAUCAGCAACCACAGCUAAUGAAGUCACUGAAACCCUUAACAAAGAGUUGCAGUCUGUUUUUGGAAUGGGUGGCCAGUAAUAUACUGGUCCUGAACAUCUCUAAAACUAAGAGCAUUGUAUUUGGUACAAUAUUGCCUAAGUUCUAGACCUCAGCUGAAUCUGGUAAUGAAUGGAGUGGCUGUUGAACAAGUUGAGGAGACUCAAUUACUUGGCGAUAACUUAGAUUGUAAACUGUCAUGGUCAAAACAUAUAGAUUCAGUGGUUGCAAAGAUGGGGAGAGGUCUAGCCGUAAUAAAGAGAUGCUCUGCUUUUUUGACACCACACUCCAAAAAGCAAGUUCUGCAGGCUCUAGUUUUGUCUAAUCUUGAUUAUUGUCCAGUCGUGUGGUCCAGUACUGCAAGAAAAGACCUUGUUAAGCUGCAGCUGGCCCAGAACAGAGCGGCACGUUUUGCUCUUAAUUGUAAUUAGAGGGCUGAUAUAAAUACUAUACAUGCCAGUCUCUCUUGGCUAAGAGUUGAGGAGAGACUGACUGCAUCACUUCUUCUUUUCAUAAGAAACAUGAUUGAUGUGUAAGAAUGUGUGUGAUGUGAUGAUGUGUUGAAAAUCCCAAUUUGUUUGCAUUGUCAAUUUACACACAGCUCUGACACACACACUUAUCCCACCAGACAUGCCACCAGGGGUCUUUUCAUAGUCCCCAAAUCCAGAAAAAAUUCAAGAUAACGUACAGUAUUAUGUAGAGCCCUUAUUGCAUGGAACUUCCUUCCAUCUCAUAUUGCUCAAAUAAACAGCAAACCUGGUUUCAAAAAACAGAUAAAGCAACACCUCACGGCAGAACGCCUCUACCCUAUUUGACCUAGAUAGUUUGUGUGUAUGCAUUGAUAUGUAGGCUACAUGUGCC
Molecule: long non-coding RNA, 2200 nt
Organism: Oncorhynchus tshawytscha (Chinook salmon)
Lineage: Eukaryota; Metazoa; Chordata; Actinopteri; Salmoniformes; Salmonidae
Source: Ensembl